This is a non-coding RNA of Nicotiana tabacum (common tobacco), 2533 nucleotides long. NCBI's taxonomy places the organism in Eukaryota, Viridiplantae, Streptophyta, Magnoliopsida, Solanales, Solanaceae. The record is from RefSeq and is a predicted model, not a curated record.
AUUGUGGCCCUCCAAAAUAUGCAGGUCGAGGUCCAAAUAAGUGUCGCGAGAUUACUGUCACCGACAAUCAGAAAAAACGACUUCUUCUAACCUUAUGGGAGGACUUCUCAGAAGUUGAAGGAACCAUAAUCCAGAAGAAAAUCGAGCCAAAAAUGAACGACGAUGAAAGAUAUCCAGUAAUCCUUAGGAGGAGUAUCGGAAUAUCUACUUAUGACGGUUUAUCAUUGCAAACCAGAUUCAACUCAACAAUACAAAUUCAUCCUGCUUAUCCAUAAGCAUUGGAGUUGAUAAAGUGGGCAAAAGCAAACAAAGACAUGCUCGCAGGAGGUUGUGCAUCAGACAACUUCUCAAGAUCACCAAGUUCAUCCACCUCUCUCAUGAUUCCUACCCAACAAAAAAUUAUUCCCAUUGCAGGAAUUAAUUUUGGUUUGUAGACUGGGAUUUUUUAUGUCGAGGCCGAAAUAUCAAUUUCAAGUGACUUGCAAAAGUUCUGUGUGCUUGAAUGCUCGGGUUGCAAACAGAAGUUGCGAACUAAGGAAAGAAGAGAUUUUGACUGCACCAAGUAUAAACGAAGGACAACUUUAGUUCCUCGGUGUAUGUUUCAGAUUGAUCUUAUUGAUGGUAGCGGUUCAACAACUGCAAUGAUUUCCGGUGAUGUCGCUGAAAAGAUGCUCUCAAUGACAGCAGAAGACAUAUUUGACACAACCUGUGUCAAGAAACAACUCUUGUCCAUUAACCAUGUCUUGGACACAUUUUCAGACAGAAUCUUUCGAAUUCAAUUAAGAAAAUCAUCUUGAAAAAGUUCUGACUUUGUGCGUACAAGUCUAUCAGUUUUGUCCUACGUAGAAAAGGAACAUAUCUUUGCACCAAUAAUUAGCGAGAGAAGCCAAAACAAGGUAAAGCCUCAAAGUACAGAUGAGAUAGAAAUGGAAAACAGCAGAUGUGAUAUCUAAAUAUUCAAGCGCAAGGCUGAAACUACAACCACCAACACCAUCAAAAAAAGUGUAAAGGAAGUAUUGACCUUUUAUGUGAUCUUUUGCUAUUGUAAAACAAAACCUUUUUUGGGCUCUUAUAUGAAUGGUACAAUCUCACUCCCGCUUCGCUACAAAGGAAUUUUGUCGUGGUGGUGAUCGAACAGUAAGAACUAGAGAGGGCGAUUGUGCUGGUUGUGAAAGUUUUUGGCCGCCUCAAUGGUCCACAAAUACAGGUAAAGCAUGCACCAUUUUUUUAAAGUCACUUCAAACUAAUUUUGCUUUAACCACAUGAGAUUAGUUAACCUUAGUAGAUAUUUGCAUGAAUUUAUACCACUAUAAACUAAAGUCGUGUGCUUCUACUCUACUGAAUAAUCUUACUCUGUAUUUUGAUUCUUGGCUGGCUGAAAGCCAAGGUCAAAAAUCCCCAAGUUCUUGCUUCUGUUUGCUAAUAUUUACUACACUGUUGGAUUCCUUUCUUCUAUGUUUCAUCUUAACUGGUGAGUUGUUAGACCCUCUACCAUUUUAUUAUGAUUAUUUGCUCAAUGUGUUACUACAAUUAGACUAUAUCAUCCUAAAUGAUAUUACUUGUAGUUUGAGACAUAUUUGAACUUUAUUUUGAGUUGAUUAAUGAAAUUCUGCUUAAGUCUAUAUUAUUGAUAACUAUCUCUUGAAGUUAAGUUAUGAACCUGCUUGUAAGUAUGCUUUUAUGCCUUUCCUGUGGAUUGAUUAAUUAGGUAUAGAUAUCUUCCUUAAUGGUAUAACAACUCUGCUUUGAGUACAUUAUAAUGUGGCAUGUUUAACUCUGUUCUUACUAUAUUAUGACACUUCUAGUAAUUGCCCCAAUCAAUUUUAACAUGUCCUAAUCUAUUGCUAAUUAUUGUGAUUCCUUCCUAUGACACUAAUCCCUACGCUUAGUCUAAUCUGGAUCCUCUGUUAUCACUAUGAAUCUACUGUAUAACUUGUCUUAUUAUCAUGUGACUGAAUUUAUUUCCCUAAAACUUGACUAAGUUUGCUUGGGAUUAAGCAUGUCUACUAUUUGUAUAUGUUCAAUAUAUGACUAUGCCCUUAAGUGGAUUCCCUAAUACAUUCUACUUCCCCCUAUUCCUUCACUAUCUGAUCCUUUUGAAUCCUCAUUCUUAGCCAGCUGAAAGCCAAGGCUAUUUAGGUUCUGUCCUCUGACCUCCUAGUGUGAGCAAUACUCAGGGUCCAUGUGAGACCCUUGUGAACUCUGACAUACUAGGACUUGGCCUCUAGUCUUUCCUUGAACUGUUUCUGAUCAAUCUCUCUAGUGUGAGCACUGCCUUGGGUUCUUGAAGCCCUUGGAAACUCUGAUACACUAGGGAUUUGGGUUCUGAUAUACGGGUGAAUCCCUCAACAACUGGUUAUGUUGUAUCUAUGAACAUGGAUUUUAGAGCUAUUGUGAGUUGAAGGCCUGGCCUGCCCAGGUGUAUUUGGGCCUACAGUAGGCUCCCUAUAGUUAUACUUACUUUGUAGUUUAUUACAUUAAAUUCUGGUGUAUAAUAAUUAUUUUGUAAUAACAAUUCUGGGGUGUUAGUGAA